UAAAAAUACCAUUUUAAAACAGGUGUAUUUUUUUUUUCUUUUAGAAUGUAAGCCCCUCAAGAGCAGGGACAAUGUUUUCUGUAUGUUCUAUUGUGCCUAGUACACUGUAAAUGCUCAAUAAAUACUAAUGAUGGGA
This is a non-coding RNA of Vicugna pacos (alpaca), 136 nucleotides long. The record is from RefSeq and is a predicted model, not a curated record. NCBI's taxonomy places the organism in Eukaryota, Metazoa, Chordata, Mammalia, Artiodactyla, Camelidae.